UCCCACCAAAACCAUAUUUGUCAUUCCCUUGAAGGUUUCCUCUAAGGUCAAUGGCAAGUUCCUGGACUUCUCAACAUGUUAAUUGUGAUUCUCAGGAGUAAAAAAAUUAUCCUUGUUUCCACUGGUAAUUAUAAGGCGUAAUGAUUGCUUACAACGAAUUUCUUCUGAAACUGUAACAUAUAAGCUUGUCAUGGUAUAUUUCUCCAGGGCGUAAUUG
Molecule: unclassified non-coding RNA, 217 nt
Filed under: Hevea brasiliensis (rubber tree)
Lineage: Eukaryota; Viridiplantae; Streptophyta; Magnoliopsida; Malpighiales; Euphorbiaceae
Source: RNAcentral